Molecule: ribosomal RNA, 530 nt
Filed under: Escherichia coli
Lineage: Bacteria; Pseudomonadati; Pseudomonadota; Gammaproteobacteria; Enterobacterales; Enterobacteriaceae
Description: partial 23S ribosomal RNA
Rfam family: Bacterial large subunit ribosomal RNA
Source: RNAcentral
AUGCGUUGUUGGGUAGGGGAGCGUUCUGUAAGCCUGUGAAGGUGUACUGUGAGGUAUGCUGGAGGUAUCAGAAGUGCGAAUGCUGACAUAAGUAACGAUAAAGCGGGUGAAAAGCCCGCUCGCCGGAAGACCAAGGGUUCCUGUCCAACGUUAAUCGGGGCAGGGUGAGUCGACCCCUAAGGCGAGGCCGAAAGGCGUAGUCGAUGGGAAACAGGUUAAUAUUCCUGUACUUGGUGUUACUGCGAAGGGGGGACGGAGAAGGCUAUGUUGGCCGGGCGACGGUUGUCCCGGUUUAAGCGUGUAGGCUGGUUUUCCAGGCAAAUCCGGAAAAUCAAGGCUGAGGCGUGAUGACGAGGCACUACGGUGCUGAAGCAACAAAUGCCCUGCUUCCAGGAAAAGCCUCUAAGCAUCAGGUAACAUCAAAUCGUACCCCAAACCGACACAGGUGGUCAGGUAGAGAAUACCAAGGCGCUUGAGAGAACUCGGGUGAAGGAACUAGGCAAAAUGGUGCCGUAACUUCGGGAGAAGGC